Rhizobium sp. Leaf306 is the source of this 58-nucleotide regulatory RNA element. It matches the Rfam family "sul1 RNA". The record is from Rfam. Lineage: Bacteria; Pseudomonadati; Pseudomonadota; Alphaproteobacteria; Hyphomicrobiales; Rhizobiaceae.
CAAGGACUCAGGUGAAACUCCCGAGUGGCUCUUCCGGCCGCCGAUCCGCCGGACAACG